UUAAGUUAUUAAGGGCGCACGGUGGAUGCCUUGGCACUAGAAGCCGAUGAAGGACGUUACUAACGACGAUAUGCUUUGGGGAGCUGUAAGUAAGCUUUGAUCCAGAGAUUUCCGAAUGGGGAAACCCAGCAUGAGUUAUGUCAUGUUAUCGAUAUGUGAAUACAUAGCAUAUCAGAAGGCACACCCGGAGAACUGAAACAUCUUAGUACCCGGAGGAAGAGAAAGAAAAUUCGAUCCCCUUAGUAGCGGCGAGCGAAACGGGAAGAGCCCAAACCAACAAGCUUGCUUGUUGGGGUUGUAGGACACUCUAUACGGAGUUACAAAGGACGACAUUAGACGAAUCAUCUGGAAAGAUGAAUCAAAGAAGGUAAUAAUCCUGUAGUCGAAAAUGUUGUCUCUCUUGAGUGGAUCCUGAGUACGACGGAGCACGUGAAAUUCCGUCGGAAUCUGGGAGGACCAUCUCCUAAGGCUAAAUACUCUCUAGUGACCGAUAGUGAACCAGUACCGUGAGGGAAAGGUGAAAAGCACCCCGGAAGGGGAGUGAAAUAGAACCUGAAACCGUGUGCUUACAAGUAGUCAGAGCCUGUUAAUGGGUGAUGGCGUGCCUUUUGUAGAAUGAACCGGCGAGUUACGAUUUGAUGCAAGGUUAAGCAGUAAAUGUGGAGCCGUAGCGAAAGCGAGUCUGAAUAGGGCGUUUAGUAUUUGGUCGUAGACCCGAAACCAGGUGAUCUACCCUUGGUCAGGUUGAAGUUCAGGUAACACUGAAUGGAGGACCGAACCGACUUACGUUGAAAAGUGAGCGGAUGAACUGAGGGUAGCGGAGAAAUUCCAAUCGAACCUGGAGAUAGCUGGUUCUCUCCGAAAUAGCUUUAGGGCUAGCCUCAAGUGAUGAUUAUUGGAGGUAGAGCACUGUUUGGACGAGGGGCCCCUCUCGGGUUACCGAAUUCAGACAAACUCCGAAUGCCAAUUAAUUUAACUUGGGAGUCAGAACAUGGGUGAUAAGGUCCGUGUUCGAAAGGGAAACAGCCCAGACCACCAGCUAAGGUCCCAAAAUAUAUGUUAAGUGGAAAAGGAUGUGGCGUUGCCCAGACAACUAGGAUGUUGGCUUAGAAGCAGCCAUCAUUUAAAGAGUGCGUAAUAGCUCACUAGUCGAGUGACACUGCGCCGAAAAUGUACCGGGGCUAAACAUAUUACCGAAGCUGUGGAUUGUCCUUUGGACAAUGGUAGGAGAGCGUUCUAAGGGCGUUGAAGCAUGAUCGUAAGNACAUGUGGAGCGCUUAGAAGUGAGAAUGCCGGUGUGAGUAGCGAAAGACGGGUGAGAAUCCCGUCCACCGAUUGACUAAGGUUUCCAGAGGAAGGCUCGUCCGCUCUGGGUUAGUCGGGUCCUAAGCUGAGGCCGACAGGCGUAGGCGAUGGAUAACAGGUUGAUAUUCCUGUACCACCUAUAAUCGUUUUAAUCGAUGGGGGGACGCAGUAGGAUAGGCGAAGCGUGCGAUUGGAUUGCACGUCUAAGCAGUAAGGCUGAGUAUUAGGCAAAUCCGGUACUCGUUAAGGCUGAGCUGUGAUGGGGAGAAGACAUUGUGUCUUCGAGUCGUUGAUUUCACACUGCCGAGAAAAGCCUCUAGAUAGAAAAUAGGUGCCCGUACCGCAAACCGACACAGGUAGUCAAGAUGAGAAUUCUAAGGUGAGCGAGCGAACUCUCGUUAAGGAACUCGGCAAAAUGACCCCGUAACUUCGGGAGAAGGGGUGCUCUUUAGGGUUAACGCCCAGAAGAGCCGCAGUGAAUAGGCCCAAGCGACUGUUUAUCAAAAACACAGGUCUCUGCUAAACCGUAAGGUGAUGUAUAGGGGCUGACGCCUGCCCGGUGCUGGAAGGUUAAGAGGAGUGGUUAGCUUCUGCGAAGCUACGAAUCGAAGCCCCAGUAAACGGCGGCCGUAACUAUAACGGUCCUAAGGUAGCGAAAUUCCUUGUCGGGUAAGUUCCGACCCGCACGAAAGGCGUAACGAUUUGGGCACUGUCUCAACGAGAGACUCGGUGAAAUCAUAGUACCUGUGAAGAUGCAGGUUACCCGCGACAGGACGGAAAGACCCCGUGGAGCUUUACUGUAGCCUGAUAUUGAAAUUCGGCACAGCUUGUACAGGAUAGGUAGGAGCCUUUGAAACGUGAGCGCUAGCUUACGUGGAGGCGCUGGUGGGAUACUACCCUAGCUGUGUUGGCUUUCUAACCCGCACCACUUAUCGUGGUGGGAGACAGUGUCAGGCGGGCAGUUUGACUGGGGCGGUCGCCUCCUAAAAGGUAACGGAGGCGCUCAAAGGUUCCCUCAGAAUGGUUGGAAAUCAUUCAUAGAGUGUAAAGGCAUAAGGGAGCUUGACUGCGAGACCUACAAGUCGAGCAGGGUCGAAAGACGGACUUAGUGAUCCGGUGGUUCCGCAUGGAAGGGCCAUCGCUCAACGGAUAAAAGCUACCCCGGGGAUAACAGGCUUAUCUCCCCCAAGAGUUCACAUCGACGGGGAGGUUUGGCACCUCGAUGUCGGCUCAUCGCAUCCUGGGGCUGUAGUCGGUCCCAAGGGUUGGGCUGUUCGCCCAUUAAAGCGGUACGCGAGCUGGGUUCAGAACGUCGUGAGACAGUUCGGUCCCUAUCCGUCGUGGGCGUAGGAAAUUUGAGAGGAGCUGUCCUUAGUACGAGAGGACCGGGAUGGACAUACCUCUGGUGUACCAGUUGUCGUGCCAACGGCAUAGCUGGGUAGCUAUGUGUGGACGGGAUAAGUGCUGAAAGCAUCUAAGCAUGAAGCCCCCCUCAAGAUGAGAUUUCCCAACUUCGGUUAUAAGAUCCCUCAAAGAUGAUGAGGUUAAUAGGUUCGAGGUGGAAGCAUGGUGACAUGUGGAGCUGACGAAUACUAAUCGAUCGAAGACUUAAUCAA
Molecule: ribosomal RNA, 2921 nt
Filed under: Staphylococcus aureus
Lineage: Bacteria; Bacillati; Bacillota; Bacilli; Caryophanales; Staphylococcaceae
Description: 23S ribosomal RNA
Rfam family: Bacterial large subunit ribosomal RNA
Source: RNAcentral